GGAGGGGAAAAAAUAGGCCAACCGAUUUGGCGGCACAAAGAGGUCAACCCUUGGGGUAAAAGUAAAUUUGCUUCUUUUUACCCCAAAUUUUUUUUACCGUGGGUAAAAAGACUCUUUCUUGGGGUAUCAAAAAAAACCAGAUUUAGAUUUACCUCAAGGAUUGAUAUCCUUUUGCCCCAAGCAGGUUGGUCUCUUUUUUCCCCAAC
RNAcentral lists this microRNA precursor (206 nucleotides) under Medicago truncatula (barrel medic). Its description in RNAcentral is "MIR2670 microRNA precursor family". It matches the Rfam family "MIR2670 microRNA precursor family". Lineage: Eukaryota; Viridiplantae; Streptophyta; Magnoliopsida; Fabales; Fabaceae. The record is from Rfam by way of RNAcentral.